GACGAACGCUGGCGGCGUGCUUAACACAUGCAAGUCGAACGGAAAGGCCCUGCUUUUGUGGGGUGCUCGAGGGGCGAACGGGUGAGUAACACGUGAGUAACCUGCCCUUGACUUUGGGAUAACUUCAGGAAACUGGGGCUAAUACCGGAUAGGAGCUCCUGCUGCAGGGUGGGGGUUGGAAAGUUUCGGCGGUUGGGGAUGGACUCGCGGCUUAUCAGCUUGGUGGUGGGGUAGUGGCUUACCAAGGCUUUGACGGGUAGCCGGCCUGAGAGGGUGACCGGCCACAUUGGGACUGCGAUACGGCCCAGACUCCUACGGGAGGCAGCAGUGGGAAAUAUUGCACAAUGGGCGGACGCCUGAUGCAGCAACGCCGCGUGCGGGAUGACGGCCUUCGGGUUGUAAACCGCUUUCGCCUGUGACGAAGCGUGAGUGACGGUAAUGGGUAAAGAAGCACCGGCUAACUACGUG
RNAcentral lists this ribosomal RNA (468 nucleotides) under uncultured bacterium. RNAcentral describes it as "partial 16S ribosomal RNA". It matches the Rfam family "Bacterial small subunit ribosomal RNA", at positions 28 to 507 of the family's 1533-position model. The record is from RNAcentral.